RNAcentral lists this ribosomal RNA (879 nucleotides) under uncultured delta proteobacterium. RNAcentral's name for it is "bacterial SSU rRNA". It matches the Rfam family "Bacterial small subunit ribosomal RNA", at positions 51 to 900 of the family's 1533-position model. The record is from RNAcentral. Lineage: Bacteria; Deltaproteobacteria.
ACACAUGGCAAGGUCGUACGAGAAAGGGUCCUUCGGGACCUGAGUAAAGUGGCGNAGNNGNGAGUAACGCGNUGGAUAAUCUGCCCUUCAGUUGGGAANAACUCAUCGAAAGGUGGGCUAAUACCGAAUAAUACUGCAAGACUUUGGUCGAGCAGUCAAAGAGAGCCUCUGCUUGCAAGCCCUUGCUGAAGGAUGAGUCCGCGUACCAUUAGCUAGUUGGCAGGGUAACGGCCUACCAAGGCGACGAUGGUUAGCUGGUCUGAGAGGAUGAUCAGCCACACUGGAACUGAGACACGGUCCAGACUCCUACGGGAGGCAGCAGUGAGGAAUCUUGCGCAAUGGGGGAAACCCUGACGCAGCAACGCCGCGUGAGUGAGGAAGGCCUUCGGGUCNUAAAGCUCUGUCAGUUGGAAAGAAAUGUCUGAGAGUCAAUACCUUUCAGGCUUGACGGUACCAACAGAGGAAGCACCGGCUAACUCCGUGCCAGCAGCCGCGGUAAUACGGGGGGUGCAAGCGUUGUUCGGAAUUAUUGGGCGUAAAGAGCGUGUAGGCGGCCGGAUGUGUCAGAUGUGAAAGCCCUGGGCUUAACCCAGGAAGUGCAUUUGAAACUGUCCGGCUUGAGUAGGGGAGAGGGAAGUGGAAUUCCUGGUGUAGAGGUGAAAUUCGUAGAUAUCANGAGGAACACCGGUGGCGAAGGCGACUUCCUGGCCCUAUACUGACGCUGAGACGCGAGAGCGUGGGUANCAAACAGGAUUAGAUACCCUGGUAGUCCACGCCGUAAACGAUGUUCACUAGGUGUUGGGGGGUAUUGACCCCCUCAGUGCCGGAGCUAACGCAUUAAGUGAACCGCCUGGGGANUNACGGUCGCAAGACUAAAAC